GACGUCAAAGCUUCAUAUAUACUCCCUCCCCUUCACUCUAUGGAUAAAUUAAUGCAACUGUUUGGUUUCAGCGAAAGGGCGAUACCACAAGUGGAAGUCUGUGAUUGCUGCAAAAAGGUUCAACUACCACGAUCCCUGCAUCAACAAGUUACAAAAGGCAAGCAACAAGUCAACUUUUUUUGUGUAGGUAGGGCAAGAGAAAUCGAAAUUUGAGGUCACAAAAGAACACCUUAAAACUUUUUUAUGAGUGUAUGUUUUCUUUUCUUUUCCCUUUUGGAUAUUAUGUAGAAUUACCACUUCAGAAUAAUAAGGGAUUAUUUCUGUUUUAUUCGAUCCGUCUUCAAAUCAAGAUGUUAUUAAUUCAAUCAAAAUAUAAGUUUUUUUUUUGGUUUCAAGAUUAAUCUCACUCAACUCUACGUCAAUUUUUAUUUUUCCUGUGAUCAAUCAUACGAAAGCGAUAUUCGAUCAUAAAGUUUUUUCCUCACCCAGAGACAGAAAUUGGUGAACUAGGAGGUGCAUAGAUAUUAUCGUAGUAUAUGCAAUGUUGUCUUCCUUAAGAUACCGACUUCAUAUUGUAUUUUGUCCAGCAGUUCAUAACAAUGAGUUAUGAGAUUUGUAAGUUAUUUUGGAUAUGGAAACUUGCUAAAGGGCAUAGAUUUGAAUUUCAAGGUCUUACAAAACUGAAAACCUCCCCUUUGUAGCUAUGCCAAGUAACAGUCGUUGGACAUUGAGAAUGUUAACACUAAUUUGUAUUAUCAAAUACCAAGAACAUAAUCUCUCAUAACAACCAACUACCUAGAUCAACAAGAGUGGUACUCUUUUUCCAGCCAAAGCUACAGAUCUCGAAUUGCAUCAGACCGUGAGUCUACUACCUCUUUGCUUCCUAGCUAGGUAUUUCCUCCUCUUUUAUCUUCUACAAUGCAUAUGUGGGACAAAACAGAAUUGUGAAACAUGAUGUUGGGACAGAAGCAACUUACAAGGUUAGUUCCGUAUCUUAAAAUGGUUGCUCAACCAUCCAUUCCAUAUCUGACGUGUCAUUCACCAUUAAUCUUUGCCUGCAUCCUCCACAUUUUUCUUGCGAGCCUCAACAGCAGCAUCUGCCUCCGGUGACUGGAGUUUCAGUUUUUCAAAAUCCUUCACGAAAUAAAAUGGAUAACACUUCAAAUAGCGUUUUGUCAACCUUAUUUCUCACCCUGCAGUCCUUAUAUAAAGGAUGCACUUCCAUAUGUGUAAGGUACAAGCUAAUUAAAAGAUGGCAUCAUAAUUUAAAUGCUUGUUUAUAUAUUAUAAUAAUAUCUGCUUACUGGGUUAGGAUUUCCCUAUCGAGAAAGAUAACCGACAGUAUUUGCUCUAUAGCUACUUGAUUCUUUAGUCCAUCAAACCAUGUAGAACAGUGCAAGGACUGAGUAACGUUAACAGCUUUUCCCUCAAAACUUAUGUUGUUCACAAUAUAAUUGAAAAAUACAUUGGUGGAUUCCUAGCAGAAGCAAAGAAAAAAAAUUCACCAGGAAAAUUUUUCUCAUCUUACUUGAGCCUUGGAGGCAAGAGUUACUUGGUACAUGUGUUGGUGGAAUAAUAUAGGUGUGUACAAGCUGGCCAGACACCAUCUCAUUAAAAAGAAAAACACUGUGAAGGUACCAGACAAUGGUAACAUAAUAUACUAACCAGUUCAGAUACAUAUCCACUGGUCCUUUCACCUUGAGGCCCAUAAUUUUGAGCUUCACUUUAGCUCACUCUUUUGAUCCUUUGGUUUUUCAUUUGUAUCUGGAUGCUCUGCAAAUUUGAUUACUAUGACAUUGACUAAAGAAAAUCUGAACAAAAUACUUGCAUGACACAAUUACUCCGGUACAAAUAGACAAUUACAACUUGAAAGAGAGGGACAUAAACUAAGAGUGAAGAACAUUACCAGCAGCUAUCACCAGUGAGGACUCAUGAAGCAGUUCUUGGUCCAGUUGUUUGGACCUAAUGCACUGCAGUUGACAGCAAC
Molecule: long non-coding RNA, 1987 nt
Filed under: Solanum tuberosum (potato)
Lineage: Eukaryota; Viridiplantae; Streptophyta; Magnoliopsida; Solanales; Solanaceae
Description: long non-coding RNA (STUB_LNC003043)
Source: RNAcentral